Molecule: ribosomal RNA, 140 nt
Filed under: uncultured bacterium
Lineage: Bacteria
Description: partial 16S ribosomal RNA
Rfam family: Bacterial small subunit ribosomal RNA
Source: RNAcentral
UGGGGAAUAUUGGGCAAUGGGGGAAACCCUGACCCAGCAACGCCGCGUGAAGGAAGAAGGCUUUCGGGUUGUAAACUUCUUUUACCAGGGACGAAGGACGUGACGGUACCUGGAGAAAAAGCUCCGGCUAACUACGUGCC